Molecule: long non-coding RNA, 2610 nt
Organism: Ailuropoda melanoleuca (giant panda)
Lineage: Eukaryota; Metazoa; Chordata; Mammalia; Carnivora; Ursidae
Exons: 2
Source: RefSeq, a predicted model, not a curated record
UGCAAUCAGCAUGCUGAUUAAGGUUGCUUGGUUUUUUACUAAACAUUAACUGAAUGAAAACGGGUAGUCCUUGUUCUGCUUGGGGGGCUUUAAGGAAGCAAAUGGACUUUCAGAACAGAGAUUGUCAAUAAAGGUCAGUUAUGGAUCCACUAAAUACUUGGAAACUACCUAUAGCUCUGCACUGAAAUUUUAUUCUUAGAAGACUGUAAAAUAUUUUAACUGCAUUAAAUAUUUAAGCAAGGCAUUAUCGUGUAGCAGUUAAGAGCAAAAACUUGAAGAAGAUGGCCUGGUUUCACUAACUACCUGCACGACUUUGGAAACGUGCCAGACCUCUCCGUGCAGUUUCCUCAUCGGUAAAAUGGGGAUAAUAAUAGAUCCCAUCUCUGAGGUUUGUUGUGAAGAUUAAAUUAAUAAAUAUUUGUUAGACAGAAGAGUGAAAUAGAAGUGUUUACUCCUGCUAAUAUGGCAUAUCACAAAAGGAAAUAGGGGUUCAAGAAGCAAUAAAAUGAGAACUAUAUAAUGUAUGGCACAAACAGAAAGAAGACUUUGGAAGUGCUAGUUUGUGACAGACGCCUUUAUGUCUUUGGUCCACUCCAGGAACCAGAAUAUUACCUAUAAAUAUAACUGAAUCUUCCUGAUCCGGGCAUCUUUCCUUAAAAUACAUGAAGACAAUGUUUUAACACUUAAAGACCAUCAUAAUGUUAAUGAAGACUACCUGAGCACACAGAACUCUCCAAAGGUCACUACUAUCCAGGGUCCUCUGGUCUUCAAGGUUGAUAUGUUUGGCAUUUGAGUCUUUUUCCUUCCAGUGUUUAGCUAUUGACUCAUUCGGGAUUUCUUUCUGAUUCCAUUCUGAUUUAGUCCAAACUUGGAUCAUAAUCUUUCUUCUUUGUCAGCUAUUCCUAGCUGUCAGCUACUUUUUGCUGCUCACCCUAAAUCCAACUUUCCCAGAUUCAAAAAGAUUUUUUAAAGGAAUGUCAGCUCUCCCACCUCACCUGGUUGCUUAUAUCCAGCUGUCCUGCUUCUAUGAGCACAAGAGACACACCAUGUGUCACUGGAGUGAAUGAUGGUUACUGCUCUGCUAGUUCUCAGUGGUAACAAUCCUAGUGGAUUCCUCACCAGCACCUUUAAAUCAAAAUAGGAAAGAAUGGUUUUAUGGUACAAUUUACUAGUUUAAAGAUAUUGGUCUGUUCUUACUGCUUAAAGUCAUAGGUUAGAAGAGGAGAGAACCAUAUAUCUUUGGAUCUGAACUGGUGUCUUAGACAAGAGUUCCAGCAUCUGUUAAAUAUAGCAGAGCUAUUCCAACCCUUUAAGUGAUUCCUCACUGCUCAUUUGAAAACAGAUGUUAAGGACAUACUGAAAACCAAGCAUGAACUAAAGACCUUCAGAAAAUCACUGUUAUACUUGCCCAACCAUGCUCAGUGGGAAGAUUUGCUCUACUGAAUCCAUACUGUAUCAGAAUGCCUUCUAUGAACACACCCUGUUUAAAAAAAAAAAAAAAAAAAAAGCCUUGUUCCGUAGAAGGCAUUUUAGAUAGAAUGAAGAAGAGCAAAAGAUGGUGUUUAUUCCAUGUCACCAUACCUUGUUUGGUCCUUUUUUCAUUGAAAUUCAGGUAAAGUAGCAUGUCAGGCAGAAUGUGGUGGUGUAGUGGAAAGAACUCUGACUAGGUGAUGGGGUCAAGGUGUGGGUCCAAGAUCUGCUUCCUGGAAAAGCCAUUGCUUUUUCUGAAUUUCAACAUCUAUUCAGAUGAGGAGGUAAUAACAUCGACCUCACAGAAUUGUUGUAAAGAUUAAAGACCUUUGUAUGUUACAAUAGUAAUACUGGACAUUAUUAUUAGUUUUUAUUAGCAAUAAGUAAUUUUGAUGUUAUAGAUCUAAAUAAUUAAGGUCCCCAAACCUUGUUUUCUACCAAGAUAGAUGUGAUUUCCUUGACUUUUCUUCGUUUUUCCAGAAAUUCAUAAUCUGCAUGUUUUCUGGGAUGCAGUAGAUAGAGUGCAAAGAGCUCAAACAUUGGAAUAUGAGACAUCUGAAGUCAAACUGUGGUUAAGUCACUCUGAAUUCACUUACUAGUUAGUGCUAGUCAAGUCUUUGACCCUUGGUUUUCCUUUCAUAAUAUGGGGCUAAUGAUACUCAUUUUGCAUAAUUGUGGAGAGAAUUAGUUAUAAUGUAUCAAGGAGCCUAGCACAGGGAAUAGUUUGCAGUAAACAACCAUUGUACUAUAGGCUACUUCUUUGGUUUUUCACUCCUUCCUAUUAUUAUUGACAAAAUGGGGUUACCAUUGUUCACAAUUACUUUAUAGGCCCUCAUGCAAUUGCUUAAUGGGUAGUAAAGAUUAUACCUUGAAAAAAAUGAGUCAUUUGGAUUAAUAAAUCAUUAAAAGGUAAUAUGGGGGGCUCAAAAAUUAUUUUCUCUUUAGAUAUCCUAACUGGAAAUUCUUUAGAAAUUCAAACUCUUGAAGAAUGUAAACAUUGAUAAGACAUGGUUACUGUCUUCAGGAAGCUUACAUCUAGUUGGAGGCAUUUCUUUCACUAGUAUCUAUGUUCAACCAAAUGUUGUCUUUAUAUGGUGACUGAGCUGUGAGGUAAGAAAUAAAAUGCUUUCAAAAAUUAGA